CAGCAGCCACGGUAAUACGAAGGGUGCAAGCGUUAAUCGGAAUUACUGGGCGUAAAGCGUGCGUAGGCGGUUUGUUAAGUCUGUUGUGAAAUCCCCGGGCUCAACCUGGGAAUGGCAAUGGAUACUGGCAAGCUAGAGUGUGUCAGAGGAUGGUGAAAUUCCCGGUGUAGCGGUGAAAUGCGUAGAGAUCGGGAGGAACAUCAGUGGCGAAGGCGGCCAUCUGGGACAACACUGACGCUGAGGCACGAAAGCGUGGGGAGCAAACAGGAUUAGAUACCCCUGUAGUCCCUGUCUCUUAUAC
RNAcentral lists this ribosomal RNA (301 nucleotides) under uncultured bacterium. Its description in RNAcentral is "partial 16S ribosomal RNA". It matches the Rfam family "Bacterial small subunit ribosomal RNA", at positions 509 to 807 of the family's 1533-position model. The record is from RNAcentral.